UAUUACGGCCGUCUCCUAGUCAUGCGGCGUUGCCUGAUGGCUCGACAAGCCACUCCCAGAGCCGCGUAAUUAUAAACUUUUAUUACGCGCGCGCCCGCACGCAAAGAAAUCGAAAUCGGCGUGCGCAAGAAGAGCGUGUGCGCGCGCGCGCACGCGGUUCUACUAGGCUGUUGCAUAACGCGACGUGUACAACCCAUUCAUUCCAAGAACGAAAUCGAAUAUGCACCCACGACCUACGCCAACUAAUGCACUGCAUUGUGCAUGCGCACGCAUUCCAAGAAAACAAAAUGCACACAACGCAUAAGUCAUUACUGACUGAGCAUUGUUUAAUUUAAAAUGUGUGCACACCGAGCAGCUGGUUGUCAUGAAAUUAACAACAAAAGCCUCGCGGAUAAAAUCAACCAGCUGCCAGUCAACUCAAGUGUAUGCUUCUACAAGAAAAGUUAAAACUCAACACACGCACCGAGGGUAAUUCGAUAAUUUUCGGUGAAAAAUUCAGUUUCCCAUCGGAAAAAAAUCCAACCCGUUCCCAGACUGUGAGACUGCAAGCGUCAACACCACACACAAAACACAAUGGGAGUGUGCUUGCAUUGUUUACACUCUGAGAAAUGUGAAUCAAUGCGAUUGUUGGCGCGACGAGAACGCAUCCCAGGAUGUAAGUGUAGUUGUUGAUGGUGGAUGGCAAAAGCGCAAACGUGCAAGGCAACAGGGCAGUGAUCCUAGACCGUGAGAAAGUUCUUGUAGGAUCAAGGCCAUCAUGUGCAGACGACGACGAGCGCAAGCGCAAGGCGCGCGCGCGACUGGUUUGACUACCACCGAUGAUUUCUUUUGUUUGUGCCAACCGAACACAACCAGCCGGCCGCCAGGCCAGCAAAGAGUAAAAACUAUCGAGUAAGAGAAUUAAAAACCCUUUUAUUUUUAAAUGUCGAAACAAAAACGAGAUAUUCUUUCUCUCUGCGAGCCGGCGACACCACCUGUGCGCUGCGGCUGUACCCGACUAACGGUACCUUCCGAAAGGGGGCCAGCGGGACCAGGUAGACGCUUUUCGAAAAGCGACUCGCUCGUUUUCGAAACCGGCACGAAUAUAAUUCUCUUGUGAAAGCUGUGCUGCUGCGCGCCACACUCGGGUCGAUCGGGCAUCACACGGCUGGUGUUGUGUGUGACGUAGCCGACGUAGGAACCGAAACCGGUUGAAACGUGGGCUCAGCAGAGCACACGCAACGCGCGAGUGACGAUGACAGACGACGGCGCGCAUACACACACACACGCCGAAACCAGCCGACCGUGCAAAAAUAAAACAUUACGAAACCAAACCACCACCACCAACAUCACGUAGUCCUCCUCCAAACAACCAAAACAGAAGUUUUACUUUUUCUGCGCUCGCACACACUAAUGAGCAAUGGUGAAUAAUUAUUAUUCAUAGUUAUAAAUAAUUUGCCGUUGCGCGUCGUCAUCUGCUCAACGGCAGAAUGAAUCCGUUAAUUCGCCGCACACACAACUGGUUUUAUUUUCUGUACAGUUGCGGCCGCGCGCGCUCUCAACGCGACUAGUGUAAACGAUAACGCAUACGAAAAUAAACAUUACGUCACAGAUUCGGCGCCCGCCCAUUGAACCGGAUGCAUAACCAACUAAGCGCAAACACUCUUCCGACUCUCUUUUAAAACUCUGACCAAUCUCCGAAUAGUUUCUUAUCUCACCAUUGGGUUUAAACGAGGCGGCCGCAUCAAACAAACCCGUUCGUAGUUUCUCCUGCUUGAAGUUGCGUUCGGCUGUGACGCUGAACGUCUGCGCCAGGGAGACUGCUGGUAGUGACUCUCCACGAGUUAAGGGUGGUCGUACAGUGACGGCAGCGCUGUGUUCCUCAACGGACAUCAUGCGUUUCGAGCCGCCGUUCACCUCGCCGUUUGUAUGACCAUGAUGCCCAUGGUGUUCGUCUUCCUCAGUUGUGGACAAGCCACGCUUUAAUCCCUGAAGGUUAGCUGGUCUUCCACUACUCGCCGAAUGAUGAUGAGCUUGCAUUGGAUGAUGUGCGCCAGCCGGCAGAUGACUGGGUAUCCGCACUGUUGUCCUAGCCACCAUCGCUUCGUGAUCCUCUCGUGUGGCUUCCUGCAGACCAGGCCGUGACAUUGAGCUACCUCGAAGCGGUGCUGUUUGAUACUCGGUCAACAUGCCGGGUCUGGUAUGCUGCAUGGUGUAGGUUCCAGUGUGAUGCGCCCCCGCAGCUGCUGCAGCCGCGGCCGCUGUCUGUUGUUGCUGGCGACUUGAUGUCGCUACAUCCCCGUUCUGAUGCUCAUGUCCACUGCUGGAGGUUCUGUGACUCUUGGAGCUGUGUGCGGAGCGUUGCUCCUGAAAACCGUGGGCGCGUUUCAUCUGCCUUGCUGUUUCCAGCACGAUCUCAAUACGAUCGGCGCCCUCGUAAUUCACACAACCGCGGCACACCGCCUCCGAGAAAUCGUGCACCAUCGCCCACGGCAUGCGGGGCAGGUCGCACAGAUAGCACUGCUGCCGCUUAGCCUGCUGCAUUUGCAUCACCGACAUUUUCACCAUCAGUUUUCACGCUAGAAGAUACCAAACACACAACGCGCACGCACUACUGGGGCACAAUAUCUAAUAAUCCAAAUGUAAUGUAAUAAUCCAAUAAAUCGAACUAAAAAGCC
Molecule: long non-coding RNA, 2657 nt
Organism: Dalotia coriaria
Lineage: Eukaryota; Metazoa; Arthropoda; Insecta; Coleoptera; Staphylinidae
Exons: 2
Source: RefSeq, a predicted model, not a curated record